RNAcentral lists this long non-coding RNA (1853 nucleotides) under Pan troglodytes (chimpanzee). Its description in RNAcentral is "long non-coding RNA NONPTRT006115". Lineage: Eukaryota; Metazoa; Chordata; Mammalia; Primates; Hominidae. The record is from RNAcentral.
AUUGCCUUAUAAAUCAAAAGAUGACUGCAGGUUUCUCUUACAUAUCCAAAUCUAGGAAUAAGUUCAUUCCACAGCAGAUUUGAAAAAACAAAAAUAUAAUGUAGGAAGUAAUAUCAUUCAUGGCAAACCAACAGCAUGAAAUUUGGUAGGCUUAUUUAGGAUGAAAAGGAAUAAUCUAGAUUGUUUUAAUACCCUAUAAGAGUCCAUGUUAAGUCAUCCUGACAAAAAAUCUUUUUAAAAAUAUGGUAACCAUAAAUAAAGUUGCUCAAAGGCACCACACACACACGCACACACACGGUUCUCUAAUGAAAUACCAGUUGAAGUGCAGCAUUUUCAUUACAGAUAGUCACACAGCUAGAGCUAUACAAUACACACAGAUUUCUCCUAAGAGUACCAGCAAUCUUAGUUAUAAAAUAAUACUUUUCAGUAGUCUUUCUUGAUGCACAUUUAAAAACCAGCACAACUCCUCUAGUGAAAUGGUCGAUUUCCCUUAAAAAACAACAUCUGAAAUUAUAAGACCUGACAAAUCAUAUUAUAUUUCAAUAUUAGACAGCUGUGGCUCUAGAACAACAGAAAAGCGUAACUUUCAAACAGCUUAGGGAAAAAGCACUGAAAUGUAGAUGUCGUCAAUCAGCCUCAGGCAUUACUGAUCCUGUGCCAUCCACACACCCUUAAGGUUUUUCACAGCACUCUGACGGUAUUAUGUCUGCUUUGCAAAUGACAAAUCAACAGUAUGCUGAAUAAUCAGCAAUGAAACACAGGAGAUAAAUUAAAUGUGUUUUUCCAAAUGUCGGAAUAUCGAGGUUCCCAGGAGUUGGCAAAACUUCUCAAGUGGCCAUCCAGACUCAGGCUGUGCAGGAUAAGGCUUCCUUACGUAGUGAACGGUUGAGAAUAUUUGCUCCCCACACCCAGAGCCAUUCAGGCAUAUACUGUGCAAAAAGAAACUAAAAAUGAAAGAGAAAAAGGUUGUAAGGUUAGAACCCAAAAUCAACACUGAAGGAACAAGUACACAGACCAGCACAUGAAACCCACCAAUCACAACAAAUACCCACCAAUCAAUCACAACAAAUACCCACCAAUCACAACAAAUACCCACCAAUCAAUCACAACAAAUACCCACCAAUCACAAUACCCACCAAUCAAACAAAUACCCACCAAUCACAAUAAAUACCCACCAAUCAAUCACAAUAAAUACCCACCGAUCAAUCACGACAAAUACCCACCAAUCACAACAAAUACCCACCAAUCAAUCACAAUAAAUACCCACCGAUCAAUCACAACAAAUACCCACCAGUCACAACAAAUACCCACCAAUCACAACAAAUACCCACCAAUCAAUCACAAUAAAUACCCACCGAUCGAUCCCAACAAAUACCCACCAAUCACAAUAAAUACCCACCAAUCAAUCACAACAAAUACCCACCAGUCACAACAAAUACCCACCAGUCACAACAAAUACCCACCAAUCACAACAAAUACCCACCAAUCAAUCACAAUAAAUACCCACCGAUCGAUCCCAACAAAUACCCACCAAUCACAAUAAAUACCCACCAAUCAAUCACAACAAAUACCCACCAAUCAAUCACAACAAAUACCCACCAGUCACAACAAAUACCCACCAAUCACAUUAAAUACAACAAAGGAAAAAGCCUGCAGGCACGACUGUAUUGAAUACCUAUUUUUGCCUAAGAUCUUACCCUAGAUUCUACAUGGAAUAGAAACAUGACCACCACCCACCUACCCUACUUUCUGUAAUGAGGCUGGACUGUCCUGCAUGUAAAUACAAUUCUGUCUUUACUUAACAUGAUAUGAACAAAAUUUUCACUGGUUAAGAACCACAAAAUCAGCUGGGC